This 251-nucleotide ribosomal RNA is filed under the name uncultured prokaryote. RNAcentral's name for it is "partial 16S rRNA". It matches the Rfam family "Bacterial small subunit ribosomal RNA", at positions 525 to 775 of the family's 1533-position model. The record is from RNAcentral.
ACGUAGGGUGCGAGCGUUAAUCGGAAUUACUGGGCGUAAAGCGUGCGCAGGCGGUUGUGUAAGUCAGGGGUGAAAUCCCACGGCUCAACCGGGGAACUGCCUUUGAUACUGCACAACUUGAAUCCGGGAGAGGGUGGCGGAAUUCCAGGUGUAGGAGUGAAAUCCGUAGAUAUCUGGAGGAACAUCAGUGGCGAAGGCGGCCACCUGGACCGGUAUUGACGCUGAGGUGCGAAAGCGUGGGGAGCAAACAG